This 468-nucleotide ribosomal RNA is filed under the name uncultured bacterium. RNAcentral's name for it is "partial 16S ribosomal RNA". It matches the Rfam family "Bacterial small subunit ribosomal RNA", at positions 28 to 507 of the family's 1533-position model. The record is from RNAcentral.
GACGAACGCUGGCGGCGUGCUUAACACAUGCAAGUCGAACGGAAAGGCCCUGCUUUUGUGGGGUGCUCGAGUGGCGAACGGGUGAGUAACACGUGAGUAACCUGCCCUGGACUUUGGGAUAACUUCAGGAAACUGGGGCUAAUACCGGAUAGGAGCUCCUGCUGCAUGGUGGGGGUUGGAAAGUUUCGGCGGUUGGGGAUGGACUCGCGGCUUAUCAGCUUGUUGGUGGGGUAGUGGCUUACCAAGGCGUUGACGGGUAGCCGGCCUGAGAGGGUGACCGGCCACAUUGGGACUGAGAUACGGCCCAGACUCCUACGGGAGGCAGCAGUGGGGAAUAUUGCACAAUGGGCGGAAGCCUGAUGCAGCAACGCCGCGUGCGGGAUGACGGCCUUCGGGUUGUAAACCGCUUUCGCCUGUGACGAAGCGUGAGUGACGGUAAUGGGUAAAGAAGCACCGGCUAACUACGUG